RNAcentral lists this RNase P RNA (476 nucleotides) under Occallatibacter sp. Its description in RNAcentral is "RNase P RNA component class A". It matches the Rfam family "Bacterial RNase P class A". Rfam says of the family: Ribonuclease P (RNase P) is a ubiquitous endoribonuclease, found in archaea, bacteria and eukarya as well as chloroplasts and mitochondria. Its best characterised activity is the generation of mature 5'-ends of tRNAs by cleaving the 5'-leader elements of precursor-tRNAs. Lineage: Bacteria; Pseudomonadati; Acidobacteriota; Terriglobia; Terriglobales; Acidobacteriaceae. The record is from RNAcentral.
CAGGAGAGCCGGGCGGUCGCUGCCGGGACGCGAAGCGCAAGCCGAACGUACCGGGGGAGGAAAGUCCGAACUCCGCAGGGCAGUGUGCCGGAUAACGUCCGGGACGCGGGCGUCAAGGCCCGUGGACGGCCAGUGCCACAGAAAACAAACCGCCUCGGCCAACCCUCGCUUGCGAGGACGUCCCCGCUCCGGCAUGCCGGCGCGGUGUCGGGGUAAGGGUGAAAAGGUGCGGUAAGAGCGCACCGCUGCCGCGGUAACGCGGCGGGCAGGGUAAACCCCACACGGAGCAAGACCAAAUAGGGAGGGAUGUGCGCGCCCGGAGCAAUGCGCGCACUCGGUGCCGGCCCGGCGCCGCAAGGAUGCUCCAGGCAAGUUCCGAAACCUCCGGGUAGGUCGCUGAUGAGCGUCCGCGGCAACGCGGCGCCUAGAGGAAUGACCGCACUACGACAGAAUUCGGCUUACAGGCCUCUUGCCGA